This 467-nucleotide ribosomal RNA is filed under the name uncultured bacterium. RNAcentral's name for it is "partial 16S ribosomal RNA". It matches the Rfam family "Bacterial small subunit ribosomal RNA", at positions 28 to 506 of the family's 1533-position model. The record is from RNAcentral.
GACGAACGCUGGCGGCGUGCUUAACACAUGCAAGUCGAACGGAAAGGCCCUGCUUUUGUGGGGUGCUCGAGUGGCGAACGGGUGAGUAACACGUGAGUAACCUGCCCUUGACUUUGGGAUAACUUCAGGAAACUGGGGCUAAUACCGGAUAGGAGCUCCUGCUGCAUGGUGGGGGUUGGAAAGUUUCGGCGGUUGGGGAUGGACUCGCGGGUUAUCAGCUUGUUGGUGGGGUAGUGGCUUACCAAGGCUUUGACGGGUAGCCGGCCUGAGAGGGUGACCGGCAACAUGGGGACUGGGAUAGGGCCCAGACCCCUACGGGAGGCAGCAGUGGGGAAUAUGGCACAAUGGGCGGAGGCCUGAGGCAGAAACGCCGCGGGCGGGAGGACGGCCUUCGGGUGGUAAACCGCUUUCGCCUGUGACGAGGCGGGAGGGACGGAAAGGGGGAAAGAAGAACCGCCUAACUAGGU